This 450-nucleotide ribosomal RNA is filed under the name uncultured bacterium. RNAcentral describes it as "bacterial SSU rRNA". It matches the Rfam family "Bacterial small subunit ribosomal RNA", at positions 29 to 521 of the family's 1533-position model. The record is from RNAcentral.
AUUGAACGCUGGCGGCGUGGCUAAAGCAUGCAAGUCGCACGGAGCCGCAAGGCUCAGUGGCGGACGGGUUAGUAAUACGAUCGAACGUACCCUGAGGUGGAGGAUAGCGGCGGGAAACCGCCGGUAAUACUCCAUGAUCUCCCCGGAGCAAAGUCGCAAGGCGCCUUUGGAUCGGCGAUCGUCCUAUCAGCUAGUUGGCGGGGUAACGGCCCACCAAGGCGAUGACGGGUAGCAGGUGUGAGAGCACGACCUGCAACAUCGGGACUGAGACACUGCCCGGACUCCUACGGGAGGCUGCAGCGACGAAUCUUCCGCAAUGGGCGCAAGCCUGACGGAGCGACGCCGCGUGUGGGAUGAAGCGUCUUCGACGUGUAAACCGACUGUCAGAGAACAGAAACACUGAUUGUUCUCAGAGGAAGGGGCGACUAACUCUGUGCCAGCCGCCGCGGU